ACAGUGAAGCGUGGUGGAGCAAGCAUCAUGAUAUGGGGAUGUUCUGUUGGGUCUAUUUAUCGCAUACAAAGGAUCAUGGAUCAGUUUGAAUGUACAUCAAAAUACUUGGAGGUCAUGUUGCCCUAUGCCGAAGAGGAAAUGCUCCUGAAAUAGGUGUUUCAACAAGACAACAACCCCAAACACACCAGCAAGCGAGCAGCAUUUGGGUUCCAGACCAACAAAAUUAAAGUUAUGGAGUGGCCAGCCCAAUGCCGGGACCCUACUCCAAUAGAAAACUUGUGGGGUAACAUCAAAAAUACUGUUUCAGAGGUAAAACCAAGAAAUGCAGAGGAAUUGUGGAAUGUAGUCCAAUGGUCCUGCACUGGAAGACCUGUUCACAGGUUCCAGAAGUUUGUCAACUCAAUGCAACACAGAUGUGAAGCAGUUCUCAGAAACUGUGGUUAUGCAACUAAAUAUUUGUUCAGUGAUUCACUGGAAAAAUAAAUCUUCAAGCAUUUUUCAGUUUAUACAGCAAAUGUUUGAGUUUGUAAAGAGAAAUGCAGACGUUGCUUUUUUUUUGAACAGCCUAAUUAUCCUUUUUCUUCACUUUCUGUAAAGUAAUAACGAAUUUGAUACAUUUUUCUUCCCAUUUUGGUUUGGAAUAAAAUGUACAGUGUUCACAAUGCAUUUAUGUGUAUGGAAAUAAAAGCUAUUAUAAGGAUUCUGAGCUUUACUCACUUUUUU
Molecule: long non-coding RNA, 723 nt
Organism: Thalassophryne amazonica
Lineage: Eukaryota; Metazoa; Chordata; Actinopteri; Batrachoidiformes; Batrachoididae
Exons: 2
Source: RefSeq, a predicted model, not a curated record